UUCGUAGGGGGUUUGCUAAGUUUGAUGUGAAAUCCCGGGGCUUAACCCCGGAACUGCAUUGAAAACUGGCAGACUUGAGCAUCGGAGAGGAGAGCGGAAUUCCUGGAGUAGCGGUGGAAUGCGUAGAUAUCAGGAAGAACACCGAAAGCGAAGGCAGCUCUCUGGACUGAUACUGACACUGAGGUGCGAAAGCGUGGGUAGCGAACAGGAUUAGAUACCCUGGUAGUCC
Molecule: ribosomal RNA, 229 nt
Filed under: uncultured bacterium
Lineage: Bacteria
Description: partial 16S ribosomal RNA
Rfam family: Bacterial small subunit ribosomal RNA
Source: RNAcentral